UCCUCCCUCUGGCGGCGUGCCUAAUACAUGCAAGUUGAGCGCUGAAGGUUGGUACUUGUACCAACUGGAUGAGCAGCGAACGGGUGAGUAACGCGUGGGGAAUCUGCCUUUGAGCGGGGGACAACAUUUGGAAACGAAUGCUAAUACCGCAUAAAAACUUUAAACACAAGUUUUAAGUUUGAAAGAUGCAAUUGCAUCACUCAAAGAUGAUCCCGCGUUGUAUUAGCUAGUUGGUGAGGUAAAGGCUCACCAAGGCGAUGAUACAUAGCCGACCUGAGAGGGUGAUCGGCCACAUUGGGACUGAGACACGGCCCAAACUCCUACGGGAGGCAGCAGUAGGGAAUCUUCGGCAAUGGACGAAAGUCUGACCGAGCAACGCCGCGUGAGUGAAGAAGGUUUUCGGAUCGUAAAACUCGGUUGGUAGAGAAGAACGUUGGUGAGAGUGGAAAGCUCAUCAAGUGACGGUAACUACCCAGAAAGGGACGGCUAACUACGUG
Molecule: ribosomal RNA, 497 nt
Filed under: uncultured bacterium
Lineage: Bacteria
Description: partial 16S ribosomal RNA
Rfam family: Bacterial small subunit ribosomal RNA
Source: RNAcentral